GAGUGAUCACAGUUUUUGAGAAUCAUGAUGAGGCAUUAAAGAAGAGGAGGAGUGUCUCAAGGGAGGUGAGCUGGAGGUGAUGCAAGGAUGUCUGAUCUGAAAGCAUGUUGUGGUCCGCUACACACAAGAGCAAAAGAAGAGCAGGAAGGAGCUCAGUGCCAAGACCAUAGCCACAGGAAGAAAACCAGCUCUUAGGGCUGCAGCUCUAAAGACAGGCCAGGUCAUUACAGGAACGUCUGCUCCCUUAGCCUUGCCAGACAGAGGAGGGUUAAGAAAGGAACUGCUGACCCUGAUAUGCAAACUGCCACGAGUGCUUCCUGCCUUUCUAUCAGCAUCAGAUGGCUAGCGAUGGAUGGCUGUGGAGAGAGGAUGCCAGACAGAUAUUUGAGCAGAACAAAGAGAGCCAACAGGAUGAAGGCAUUCCCUGGCUGGUUGGACAAGCAACUGAAGAACAGGAACAGAAGUGAAUGAAAAGAGAAGAUGCUGUGUUUGUGUUUUCUCUUGGUUAGAAUGCUGUGAGUCAGGACCUUAGCUGCUGGGUGUCCUGGGACUGCCUUCGAUGAAGAACCUGAGGCUCACCUUGCUUAAGUGACUU
Molecule: long non-coding RNA, 595 nt
Filed under: Homo sapiens (human)
Lineage: Eukaryota; Metazoa; Chordata; Mammalia; Primates; Hominidae
Description: non-protein coding lnc-DAD1-2:21
Source: RNAcentral